RNAcentral lists this unclassified non-coding RNA (265 nucleotides) under Hevea brasiliensis (rubber tree). The record is from RNAcentral. Lineage: Eukaryota; Viridiplantae; Streptophyta; Magnoliopsida; Malpighiales; Euphorbiaceae.
AUUUGGCUCGCAGGCUUCUUCAGAAUCCUAGUGAGUAUAUGCAACCGUUGGUUGAUGCUUUAACCGAUAUGAUCCGGACCCAUAAUCCCAAGUACCUUAAAGAAGGCGAGCAAGUCUUGGUUGGGUUUACUGGUCCUUUUGUUUCGAGGAGAGUAACCCCAAGAGAGCUGUUGUCCCGUUUCAUUGGUUCCAUGGUUUGCGUUGAAGGCAUUGUUACCAAGUGUUCUCUUGUGAGGCCAAAGGUUGUAAAGAGCGUCCACUUUUG